UAGGGAAUCUUCCGCAAUGGACGCAAGUCUGACGGAGCAACGCCGCGUGAGUGAAGAAGGAUUUCGGUUCGUAAAACUCUGUUGUUAGAGAAGAACAGCGCAUAGAGUAACUGUUAUGCGUGUGACGGUAUCUAACCAGAAAGGGACGGCUAACUACGUGCCAGCAGCCGCGGUAAUACGUAGGUCCCGAGCGUUGUCCGGAUUUAUUGGGCGUAAAGCGAGCGCAGGCGGUUAGAAAAGUCUGAAGUGAAAGGCAGUGGCUCAACCAUUGUAGGCUUUGGAAACUGUUUAACUUGAGUGCAGAAGGGGAGAGUGGAAUUCCAUGUGUAGCGGUGAAAUGCGUAGAUAUAUGGAGGAACACCGGUGGCGAAGGCGGCUCUCUGGUCUGUAACUGACGCUGAGGCUCGAAAGCGUGGGGAGCGAACAGG
This 428-nucleotide ribosomal RNA is filed under the name Bacteroidota bacterium. Its description in RNAcentral is "Bacteroidetes bacterium partial 16S ribosomal RNA". It matches the Rfam family "Bacterial small subunit ribosomal RNA", at positions 355 to 776 of the family's 1533-position model. Lineage: Bacteria; Pseudomonadati; Bacteroidota. The record is from RNAcentral.